UCUGGGGCACAAGGCAAUCUGUUUGAAGAAGGCGUCGAAUAGACCUACCACAGAUAAAACAAGAAUUUCUCAUUUCAACAGAAAGCUCAAGAAUGAAGAAAAGCUGGCACUGAUAUAUACUCGGAGCCUGAGGACUUAGCACGAGGCAGAGCUACACUAGACUCUAAGCCAGUGAUGUCAGAUUCUUAAAAGAUAUUCACGGGAAAGGAAAGAAAGGAGAUGUCCAGAUAAUGAUGACAAAAAAAGCAAAGGC
This 253-nucleotide long non-coding RNA is filed under the name Manihot esculenta (cassava). RNAcentral's name for it is "long non-coding RNA (MESC_LNC001012)". Lineage: Eukaryota; Viridiplantae; Streptophyta; Magnoliopsida; Malpighiales; Euphorbiaceae. The record is from RNAcentral.